Molecule: small RNA, 330 nt
Filed under: Histoplasma capsulatum
Lineage: Eukaryota; Fungi; Ascomycota; Eurotiomycetes; Onygenales; Ajellomycetaceae
Also listed under: 1 other name
Description: hypothetical RNA
Source: RNAcentral
UGCUCAUUGGUCUAACGUUUUUCUUUUCCCCACAAAUAGAUAUCCAUGAAAUUUCAUGUUUUGACUGCUUGGAGCCGGCCCAAUUUUAAUCUUUGUGCAUUGGAUACUAGUAUCAUUCAUCCUUUAAAAGUAGUUAGGCUACAGAAUGUAUUCAGGCAGAACUAAGCCUUGGGGGAAAAUAUUAAGCAUUGUAUCAUCGUGCUUUCAGGGUCCUUUUCUUUGUACCGUGGAUAUAAACAACAAUUGCCGAUACCUCAAUGCUUGCAAAAUCCAAUUGGGAGUUGCGCAGUAAUCUAAAGCGACCAACCAAUGAGAAAGUAAAGUAAAGCU